RNAcentral lists this ribosomal RNA (253 nucleotides) under uncultured bacterium. RNAcentral's name for it is "partial 16S ribosomal RNA". It matches the Rfam family "Bacterial small subunit ribosomal RNA", at positions 524 to 776 of the family's 1533-position model. The record is from RNAcentral.
UACGUAGGGUGCAAUCGUUGUCCGGAAUUAUUGGGCGUAAAGAGCUCGUAGGCGGUUUGUUGCGUCGGCUGUGAAAUCCCGAGGCUCAACCUCGGGUCUGCAGUCGAUACGAGCAAACUAGAGUGUUGCAGGGGAGACUGGAAUUCCUGGUGUAGCGGUGAAAUGCGCAGAUAUCAGGAGGAACACCGGUGGCGAAGGCGGUGAUCUGGGCCGACACUGACGCUGUAGAGCGAAAGCGUGGGGAGCGAACAGG